GUGACUAUUACAUCUCUGCACAAAGGAAAUUGGAGGGCUUUGGGAGGGGGUUUUCCAGUGUGAAUCUUUGUAGAACUAAUUGUUUGUAAAUUGUUUCUAGUGAAGUGAUGGGUAAAAUUAAUUUUUUUUUCAGGUUUCAUUCUAGUGCGGAAAAUGAAUAUUUUGGGAUAUAUUGUUAUUAUAACAAAGUCAGGUGUUCAUGCUUUCCGGUACCUGCUAAACAAAAUUACUUGUUAUUUUGGAAGAUUUGAAUAUCAACAUGGCUUUCUAAGCCAAAGAGAGCUAAGAACGCCUUCAGAAACAAAAAACAAAGAGGCAUGAAAGUAUAAUGUUUGUUCUAUUUUGACCUUCUAGAGGUCUUCCAAUAAUUCUUCUGGGCUUUUCAUGUCUGAUUUUGCUCAGUCAGUGAUGGGGUUGACAGUUUUAAUUCUGUUGCUAACACGUAGAAUUAAUUCAUGAUUUUAACACUGACAUCUGUAAAAAGAUUCAGACAUUAUCAUAUCAGAUAUUUUCUUGGCCAUCUUUUUGAAGUCUGAGGUUCUUUCUUAUAAGGUGGACCCUACUUGAUUGAUGCAAAAAUAAGUUUAAUCAAAACUCGUGUAGAAUAUGAUGCAUGUUGUAAGCAAUCAGAACAAUGUAUAUGUAUCUUGAGAUUCAAAGAACUUUACAACAAAGUUAUAACAGUUUACUUAUUCAUGAAAAUAAUGGGUGUUUAGCUUUAUCAUGGGAAUUAACUGGAUAAGGGGGCAUGGGGAGGGAGGGGCAUAGUAUCUUCAUAACAGUGGUAUUCUCCUUAUAGUCACAAAGUACAUGUAAACAUUAAUAAGCACCUGUACCGAUUCACAGGUGAUACCAACUCCAUCCCGAAGUACCUCAGUUUUGGGCCCUGGUCAGUAACUGUUUCCUUGUUUAUGUUUUGGUUUUUUUAUUUGGGGGGGGGAACAACAGUAGAACCUUGUUCAGCAAUAGGUUAGAAGUGAAACUAAGUGAAGAAAAGAAAUAGAUUAAAUUUAAAGUAAUACUUAACAUUGUGGCCUGGAGCUAGAUAAUGGGGUUAGGAUAGGGGAGAGGAUGAGGGGGGGUUAGAGGUUAGAGAGCAGCUUAGCUAAUCUUGUUAGGAUCAUUUUA
Molecule: long non-coding RNA, 1128 nt
Filed under: Phascolarctos cinereus (koala)
Lineage: Eukaryota; Metazoa; Chordata; Mammalia; Diprotodontia; Phascolarctidae
Description: lncRNA (ENSPCIG00000034867.1)
Source: RNAcentral